RNAcentral lists this ribosomal RNA (406 nucleotides) under uncultured bacterium. Its description in RNAcentral is "partial 16S ribosomal RNA". It matches the Rfam family "Bacterial small subunit ribosomal RNA", at positions 30 to 526 of the family's 1533-position model. The record is from RNAcentral.
AUUGAACGCUGGCGGCAGGCCUAACACAUGCAAGUCGAACGAGUGGCGGACGGGUGAGUAAUUUCUGGGAAACUGCCUGAUGGCGGGGGAUAACUACUGGAAACGGUAGCUAAUACCGCAUACCAUCAGAUGUGCCCAGAUGGGAUUAGCUCGUAGGUGGGGUAAUGGCUCACCUAGGCGACGAUCCCUAGCUGGUCUGAGAGGAGGACCAGCCACACGGGAACUGAGACACGGUCCAGACUCCUACGGGAGGCAGCAGUGGGGAAUAGUGCACAAUGGGCGCAAGCCUGAUGCAGCCAUGCCGCGUGUGUGAAGAAGGCCUGAGGGUUGUAAAGCACUUUCAGCGGGGAGGCGUUACCCGCAGAAGAAGCACCGGCUAACUCCGUGCCAGCAGCCGCGGUAAUAC